Molecule: long non-coding RNA, 1097 nt
Organism: Thunnus maccoyii (southern bluefin tuna)
Lineage: Eukaryota; Metazoa; Chordata; Actinopteri; Scombriformes; Scombridae
Exons: 4
Source: RefSeq, a predicted model, not a curated record
ACCUGAUAUGUGUCCAAAUUGUUGUAAACAUUCAAGUAGACAUGGUAUGGUAGUAUCUAUCUCAAAUAAGUACAACAGAAUGUUGUCCACAUAAAGAGAAAUUGUGUGUACUGUGCCUUUAAUGUUGAAGCCCCUAAACCCUGAGGUGGUUCUAACGAGCUUUGCUAAGGGCUCAAUAGCCAAUGCAAACAGAGGGGGGCUAAGGGGGCAUCCUCGACGGGUUCUACGCUCUAAUGGACAAGGGUCUGAGCAAUAGGAAUUAGUAACAGCUGCUUUAGGGGACCAAUACAGCAAUUUUACCCAGUCAGUGAAUUCUGUACCUACUUUAAAUUUUUCCAUAGCAUAGAAAAAGAAGGGCAAUUCAACCCUAUUGAAUGCGUUUAAUGUAUCCAGAGAUACCACCCGACCCCAUACAUCUUUAUCCCUGGCUAACUGUAUUAUGUUCAGAAGCCUCCUGAUGUUAUUGUAGCAGGAUAGAUAUUUUACCGGCUUGGGUGAUUGCAGCCAUUCCAUUGGUUCCCAAGGCCCAAUCAAGAGGGAGGCCAAUCUAUAAAGGGGAGAGGUGUCCAUCUCUCUGCCUCUCACUCUUUGGCCUUGGAGGGCACGCCCACUUCUGGUGGCCGCACUUCCGUCUGAUGGUAGCUCACCGGUUGCAGACUUUUUGCUGACUCCUCCUGCCCCCCGGUCUGCCAGAACCCGGUGUUUGAUGCAUCGUUAACGCUCAUUAACAGAUCGCUUGUCGGACGGUAUGGUUAGCCAUCACGGCUAACCAUAGCCUCAGGCUCCAUCUGCUCUGCCUGGUCUGGUGUGGUGCUGCACGGUGCAGCUGUCCUGGGUCUGUGUGGCCUGCUGUCCUUUCCAGCCACUGCCGUGGCUGCAACAGCUCAUCGAUCUGCGUUUGGGAGCGGUUGCUGAGAGCUGCCAGUGGUGGUCCCUGGCGUCCUGGUGGUGGUUUCCCCUUUUGAGUGUGUGUGCUGUGCAUCCCCUUUUUUUGUUUUUUUAGUUUUUCACACAUGGUCGGGGUGAUUUUGUUUUCCCUGGAUUCCUCUCACUCCCGACUCACGUCCCCCUACUGGUAAGCCUCGGCACCGAUUAGG